UAUACUCGACGGGAUCGAGUUUUUCUCACCCGGGAGGAGUUGAUGGGGACAUCAGAGCCCUUCAUCCAGAUGAUCCUGAGCCCCCGGAUUGAGUCAGACCCGUUUAUUUGCAUAUUUAUUUUAUUAUUUUAUUUCUGGGCUUAUUUGCAUUUUAGGGUUUAUUUGUGGUUUAUUUUAUUUCUGGGCUUAUUUGCAUUUUAGGGCUUAUUUGUGUUAUUUGUGGGUUUAUUAGGAUUUAUUUCUGUGUAAAGGGGGUUUAUGCAAGUUGUGUAUUUGGGCCCUAUAUAUAGGGAACUAUUUUCAUGAUUAGGGUUUAAUGAAGAAUUAAGAAUUUCCUUCCUCCACGUUUUCCUCUCCUUUCUCCUCCUCCCUUCUCCUUCUUCUCUUCUUCUUCCUCCUUCUCUUCCCCUCUUCUCCUGCUUCCAUUUUAAAUUUGGU
RNAcentral lists this long non-coding RNA (438 nucleotides) under Phoenix dactylifera (date palm). Its description in RNAcentral is "long non-coding RNA (PDAC_LNC008797)". The record is from RNAcentral. Lineage: Eukaryota; Viridiplantae; Streptophyta; Magnoliopsida; Arecales; Arecaceae.